GCGCACCAGGCGCGAAACUUCACACUGUGCGAAAGCACGAUGAGGGAAUCCCAAGUGCUUGCACGUAAGUGUAAGCUGUUUCUCUGUUUAAAACGCAGAGAGAGUAAGGGCUGGGUAAGACGGGUGCCAGCCGCCGCGGUAAUACCUGCAGCCCAAGUGGUGACCGUUAUUAUUGGGCCUAAAACGUCCGUAGCCGGUUUAAUAAAUGCCUGGGUAAAUCGUGUAGCUUAACUAUACGAAUUCCGGGUAGACUGUUAAACUCGAGACCGGGGAGAAGUUAGAGGUACUCCUGGGGUAGAGGUGAAAUUCUGUAAUCCUAGGGGGACCACCAGUGGCGAAGGCGUCUAACUAGAACGGGUCUGACGGUGAGGGACGAAGCCCUGGGGCGCAAAACGGGGAUUAGAUACCCGCGUAGU
This 416-nucleotide ribosomal RNA is filed under the name uncultured microorganism. Its description in RNAcentral is "bacterial SSU rRNA". It matches the Rfam family "Archaeal small subunit ribosomal RNA", at positions 330 to 745 of the family's 1478-position model. The record is from RNAcentral.